GAAAGCAUGCAGGGGUACCGCCCCGGCGAAGCGAGCCGAAAGCCUAUGGCAGCCUCGUCGAUGCGGUUGAGAGGGCACUGCCCAACCCUUCGAACCUGUCAGCUAACACUGUCGUAGGGAGCAUGCUCACCAAGCAC
RNAcentral lists this non-coding RNA (137 nucleotides) under Adlercreutzia equolifaciens. RNAcentral's name for it is "TPP sequence". It matches the Rfam family "TPP riboswitch aptamer (THI element)". From Rfam's summary of the family: Vitamin B(1) in its active form thiamin pyrophosphate (TPP) is an essential coenzyme that is synthesised by coupling of pyrimidine and thiazole moieties in bacteria. The previously detected thiamin-regulatory element, thi box was extended, resulting in a new, highly conserved RNA secondary structure, the THI element, which is widely distributed in eubacteria and also occurs in some archaea. Analysis of operon structures identified a large number of new candidate thiamin-regulated genes, mostly transporters, in various prokaryotic organisms. The record is from RNAcentral. Lineage: Bacteria; Bacillati; Actinomycetota; Coriobacteriia; Eggerthellales; Eggerthellaceae.